AUGAAGAAAGCUAGCUCCCUGCAACCCUCACAAUGUCGCCCACUGAAGCUAAGCAGGGCUGCGCUCGGUCAGUACCUGGUGGGAGACCGCCUGGGAAAGCUAGAUUGCUGCUGG
Danio rerio (zebrafish) is the source of this 114-nucleotide non-coding RNA. NCBI's taxonomy places the organism in Eukaryota, Metazoa, Chordata, Actinopteri, Cypriniformes, Danionidae. The record is from Rfam.